ACAAUGUUAAGAUAAAAAGUCUUCUUCUCUUCUAAAGAAGCUGUUGGUGUUCCAACAUUGUA
Molecule: transfer RNA, 62 nt
Filed under: Salpa fusiformis
Lineage: Eukaryota; Metazoa; Chordata; Thaliacea; Salpida; Salpidae
Description: tRNA-Gly
Source: RNAcentral